UACAGAGGAUGCAAGCGUUAUCCGGAAUGAUUGGGCGUAAAGCGUCUGUAGGUGGCUUUUUAAGUCUGCCGUCAAAUCCCAGGGCUUAACCCUGGACAGGCGGUGGAAACUACCAAGCUGGAGUACGGUAGGGGCAGGGGGAAUUUCCGGUGGAGCGGUGAAAUGCGUAGAGAUCGGAAAGAACACCAACGGCGAAAGCACUCUGCUGGGCCGACACUGACACUGAGACACGAAAGCGUGGGGAGCAAACAGG
RNAcentral lists this ribosomal RNA (253 nucleotides) under uncultured bacterium. Its description in RNAcentral is "partial 16S ribosomal RNA". It matches the Rfam family "Bacterial small subunit ribosomal RNA", at positions 524 to 776 of the family's 1533-position model. The record is from RNAcentral.